This 469-nucleotide ribosomal RNA is filed under the name uncultured bacterium. RNAcentral's name for it is "bacterial SSU rRNA". It matches the Rfam family "Bacterial small subunit ribosomal RNA", at positions 36 to 518 of the family's 1533-position model. The record is from RNAcentral.
CUGGCGGCGUGCCUAACACAUGCAAGUCGAGCGAGGAGAUCCUUCGGGAUGAUCCUAGCGGCGGACGGGUGAGUAACACGUGGGCAACCUGCCUCAUAGAGACGGAAUAGCCUUCCGAAAGGGAGAUUAAUACCUCAUAACAUUGCAGUUUCGCAUGGAACAGCAAUUAAAGGAGUAAUCCGGCUAGUGAGAUGGGGCCCGCGGCGCAUUAGCUAGUUGGUGAGGUAACGGCUCACCAAGGCGACGAUGCGUAGCCGACCUGAGAGGGUGAUCGGCCACAUUGGGACUGAGACACGGCCCAGACUCCUACGGGAGGCAGCAGUGGGGAAUAUUGCACAAUGGGGGAAACCCUGAUGCCAGCAACGCCGCGUGAGUGAUGACGGCCUUCGGGUUGUAAAGCUCUGUCUUCAGGGACGAUAAUGACGGUACCUGAGGAGGAAGCCACGGCUAACUACGUGCCAGCCGCCGC